Molecule: long non-coding RNA, 429 nt
Filed under: Mytilus galloprovincialis (Mediterranean mussel)
Lineage: Eukaryota; Metazoa; Mollusca; Bivalvia; Mytilida; Mytilidae
Source: RNAcentral
UGAUUCGUGUAUGGGUGAAGAAAUGAGUUCAAAAAAUGGAAGAAAAACCGAGACUACUGAUAUCAGCGUUGAAAGAAAACCCAUGACUACUGAUGUCAGCGAUGAAAGAAUGAUACAAGACAAAGUUUCAAUAUCCGACGAAGUGAACUGUUCUUGUUUUAAGUCACCUCACUCAGCUAAGUACAUUCUAAAUGCAAAAUGCAUGCUUACGGUAUUUGUAUUGCUAACAGCCAGCAAAGACAUGUUAAACGCGUACAAUAUUUUUUUUGUUUUUUACUUAAUUUCUUUAAAGUUAUAUAAUAUUAUGUAAUUUUUUAUUGAGACUUAAAGAAAUUAUGUGGGUAUACAGAAAAAUCACCACUUUAUCUAGUAAAAAGUUUUUAAUUACAGAAACAGUUAGAUUUCUAUAUUUAUAGUCUGGUUAUACAG